This 498-nucleotide ribosomal RNA is filed under the name uncultured bacterium. RNAcentral describes it as "partial 16S ribosomal RNA". It matches the Rfam family "Bacterial small subunit ribosomal RNA", at positions 30 to 507 of the family's 1533-position model. The record is from RNAcentral.
CGAACGCUGGCGGCGUGCUUAACACAUGCAAGUCGAACGGGUCUGCCCUGUUUUUUGCGGGGUGGGUCAGUGGCGAACGGGUGAGUAACACGUGAGUAACCUGCCCCUCACUUCUGGAUAACCGCUUGAAAGGGUGGCUAAUACGGGGUGUUCUGGCUGUGCCGCAUGGUGUGGCUGGGAAAGAUUCACUUUUGUGGUGUUUUGGUGGGGGAUGGGCUCGCGGCCUAUCAGCUUGUUGGUGGGGUGAUGGCCUGCCAAGGCUUUGACGGGUAGCCGGCCUGAGAGGGUGGGCGGUCACACUGGGACUGAGAUACGGCCCAGACUCCUGCGGGAGGCAGCAGUGGGGGGUAUUGCACAAUGGGCGGAAGCCUGAUGCAGCGACGUCGCGUGAGGGAUGGAGGCCUUCGGGUUGUGAACCUUUUUCGCCGGUGAAGAAGGUCCUGCUCUUUGUGGUGGGGUUGACGGUAGCCGGGUUAUGAAGCGCCGGCUAACUACGUG